GCGGUGUGCCUAAAACAUGCAAGUCGAGCGCCCCUUUAUGAGUAGAGAACUUCGGUUAUCUGUUUGUAUGGGGAGCGGCGGACGGCUGAGUAACGCGUAGGAACGUACCCCAAAGUGAGGGAUAACGCACCGAAAGGUGUGCUAAUACCGCAUAUGGUCUUCGGAUUAAAGCAGCAAUGCGCUAUGGGAACGGCCUGCGUCGGAUUAGCUAGUUGGUGAGGUAAUGGCUCACCAAGGCGACGAUCCGUAGCUGGUCUGAGAGGAUGAUCAGCCAGACUGGAACUGAGACACGGUCCAGACUCCUACGGGAGGCAGCAGUUAGGAAUCUUCCACAAUGGGGGCAACCCUGAUGGAGCAACACCGCGUGCUGGAUGAAGGCUUUCGAGUCGUAAACAGCUUUUAUUUGUGAAGAAUAUGACGGUAACAAAUGAAUAAGGGUCGGCUAACUACGUGCCAGCAGCCGCGGUCAUACGUAGGACCCAAGCGUUAUCCGGAGUGACUGGGCGUAAAGAGUUGCGUAGG
RNAcentral lists this ribosomal RNA (522 nucleotides) under uncultured bacterium. RNAcentral describes it as "bacterial SSU rRNA". It matches the Rfam family "Bacterial small subunit ribosomal RNA", at positions 39 to 575 of the family's 1533-position model. The record is from RNAcentral.